UACGUAGGGUGCGAGCGUUAAUCGGAAUUACUGGGCGUAAAGCGUGCGCAGGCGGUUUUGUAAGCCAGAUGUGAAAUCCCCGGGCUUAACCUGGGAAUGGCAUUUGGGACUGCAAGGCUGGAGUGUGGCAGAGGAGACUGGAAUUCCCGGUGUAGCAGUGAAAUGCGUAGAUAUCGAGAGGAACACCAGUGGCGAAGGCGAGUCUCUGGACGACACCUGACACUGAGGCACGAAAGCUAGGGGAGCAAACAGG
Molecule: ribosomal RNA, 253 nt
Filed under: uncultured bacterium
Lineage: Bacteria
Description: partial 16S ribosomal RNA
Rfam family: Bacterial small subunit ribosomal RNA
Source: RNAcentral